This 70-nucleotide transfer RNA is filed under the name Loxodonta africana (African savanna elephant). It matches the Rfam family "tRNA". From Rfam's summary of the family: Transfer RNA (tRNA) molecules are approximately 80 nucleotides in length. Their secondary structure includes four short double-helical elements and three loops (D, anti-codon, and T loops). Lineage: Eukaryota; Metazoa; Chordata; Mammalia; Proboscidea; Elephantidae. The record is from Rfam by way of RNAcentral.
UGCCUGGUGGCUUAGUGGUUAAGAGUUCGGCUGCUAACCAAAAGGUCAGCAGUUUGAAUCCACCAGGCAU